Molecule: non-coding RNA, 67 nt
Organism: Cordylochernes scorpioides
Lineage: Eukaryota; Metazoa; Arthropoda; Arachnida; Pseudoscorpiones; Chernetidae
Source: the annotation of a GenBank genome assembly
GGUUCCAUGGUGUAAUGGUUAGCACUCUGGACUCUCAGCAAUCCGAGUUCAAAUCUCGAUGGAACCU